Molecule: ribosomal RNA, 493 nt
Filed under: uncultured bacterium
Lineage: Bacteria
Description: bacterial SSU rRNA
Rfam family: Bacterial small subunit ribosomal RNA
Source: RNAcentral
AGUGAACGCUGGCGGCAGGCCUAAUACAUGCAAGUCGAACGGCAGCACAGCAGAGCUUGCUCUGUGGGUGGCGAGUGGCGGACGGGUGAGGAAUACAUGGGAAUCUGCCCAGUCGUGGGGGAUAACGUAUGGAAACGUACGCUAAUACCGCAUGCGCCCUAAGGGGGAAAGCCGGGGACCGCAAGGCCUGGCGCGAUUGGAUGAGCCCAUGUUCGAUUAGCUAGUUGGCGGGGUAAAGGCCCACCAAGGCGACGAUCGAUAGCUGGUCUGAGAGGAUGAUCAGCCACACUGGAACUGAGACACGGUCCAGACUCCUACGGGAGGCAGCAGUAGGGAAUAUUGGACAAUGGGGGCGAACCCUGAUCCAGCCAUGCCGCGUGAGUGAAGAAGGCCCUCGGGUUGUAAAGCUCUUUUGUCCGGAAAGAAAAGCAAUCGGUUAAUACCCGGUUGUUCUGACGGUACCGGAAGAAUAAGCACCGGCUAACUUCGUGCC